RNAcentral lists this ribosomal RNA (852 nucleotides) under uncultured Bacteroidota bacterium. RNAcentral's name for it is "bacterial SSU rRNA". It matches the Rfam family "Bacterial small subunit ribosomal RNA", at positions 1 to 841 of the family's 1533-position model. Lineage: Bacteria; Pseudomonadati; Bacteroidota. The record is from RNAcentral.
UGGAUCCAGACUUUGAUCCUGGCUCAGGAUGAACGCUAGCUACAGGCUUAACACAUGCAAGUCGAGGGGAAACGACAUUGGAAGCUUGCUUCCGAUAGGCGUCGACCGGCGCACGGGUGAGUAACGCGUAUCCAACCUGCCCACCACUUGGGGAUAACCUUGCGAAAGUAAGACUAAUACCCAAUGAUAUCUCAAGAAGACAUCUGAAUGAGAUUAAAGAUUUAUCGGUGAUGGAUGGGGAUGCGUCUGAUUAGCUUGUUGGCGGGGUAACGGCCCACCAAGGCGACGAUCAGUAGGGGUUCUGAGAGGAAGGUCCCCCACAUUGGAACUGAGACACGGUCCAAACUCCUACGGGAGGCAGCAGUGAGGAAUACUGGUCAAUGGACGAGAGUCUGAACCAGCCAAGUAGCGUGCAGGAUGACGGCCCUAUGGGUUGUAAACUGCUUUUAUAAGGGAAUAAAGUGAGCCUCGUGAGGCUUUUUGCAUGUACCUUAUGAAUAAGGACCGGCUAAUUCCGUGCCAGCAGCCGCGGUAAUACGGAAGGUCCGGGCGUUAUCCGGAUUUAUUGGGUUUAAAGGGAGCGUAGGCCGGAGAUUAAGCGUGUUGUGAAGUGUAGAUGCUCAACAUCUGCACUGCAGCGCGAACUGGUUUCCUUGAGUACGCACAAAGUGGGCGGAAUUCGUGGUGUAGCGGUGAAAUGCUUAGAUAUCACGAAGAACUCCGGUUGCGAAGGCAGCUCACUGGAGCGCAACUGACGCUGAAGCUCGAAAAGUGCGGGUAUCGAACAGGAUUAGAUACCCUGGUAGUCCGCACGGUAAACGAUGGAUGCCCGCUGUUGGUCUGAAUUAGGUU